GAGGAAUAUUGGCCAAUGGACGGAAGUCUGAACCAGCCAAGUAGCGUGCAGGAUGACGGCCCUAUGGGUUGUAAACUGCUUUUGUAUGGGGAUAAAGUUAGGGACGUGUCCCUAUUUGCAGGUACCAUACGAAUAAGGACCGGCUAAUUCCGUGCCAGCAGCCGCGGUAAUACGGAAGGUCCAGGCGUUAUCCGGAUUUAUUGGGUUUAAAGGGAGCGUAGGCAGGAGAUUAAGUGUGUUGUGAAAUGUAGACGCUCAACGUCUGAAUUGCAGCGCAUACUGGUUUCCUUGAGUACGCACAACGUUGGCGGAAUUCGUCGUGUAGCGGUGAAAUGCUUAGAUAUGACGAAGAACUCCGAUUGCGAAGGCAGCUGACGGGAGCGCAACUGACGCUUAAGCUCGAAGGUGCGGGUAUCAAACAGGAUUAGAUACCCUGGUAGUCCGCACAGUAAACGAUGGAUGCCCGCUGUUGGUACCUGGUAUCAGCGGCUAAGCGAAAGCAUUAAGCAUCCCACCUGGGGAGUACGCCGGCAACGGUG
RNAcentral lists this ribosomal RNA (539 nucleotides) under uncultured bacterium. Its description in RNAcentral is "bacterial SSU rRNA". It matches the Rfam family "Bacterial small subunit ribosomal RNA", at positions 356 to 896 of the family's 1533-position model. The record is from RNAcentral.